AUUGAACGCUGGCGGUAGGCCUAACACAUGCAAGUCGAGCGGAGCGGCGGACGGGUGAUUCAUGCCUAGGCAUCUGCCUGGUAGUGGGGGAUAACGUCCGGAAACGGGCGCUAAUACCGCAUACUAUCAGAUGAGCCUAGGUCGGAUUAGCUAGUUGGUGGGGUAAAGGCCUACCAAGGCGACGAUCCGUAACUGGUCUGAGAGGAUGAUCAGUCAAACGGGAACUGAGACACGGUCAAGACUCCUACGGGAGGCAGCAGUGGGGAAUAUUGGACAAUGGGCGAAAGCCUGAUCCAGCCAUGCCGCGUGUGGGAAGAAGGGCUUCGGAUUGUAAAGCACUUUAAGUAGGGAGGCGUUGCCAGCAGAAGGAGCACCGUCUAACUUCGUGCCAGCAGCCGCGGUAAUAC
RNAcentral lists this ribosomal RNA (407 nucleotides) under uncultured bacterium. Its description in RNAcentral is "partial 16S ribosomal RNA". It matches the Rfam family "Bacterial small subunit ribosomal RNA", at positions 30 to 526 of the family's 1533-position model. The record is from RNAcentral.